RNAcentral lists this long non-coding RNA (800 nucleotides) under Arabidopsis lyrata. RNAcentral describes it as "long non-coding RNA (ALYR_LNC002455)". The record is from RNAcentral. Lineage: Eukaryota; Viridiplantae; Streptophyta; Magnoliopsida; Brassicales; Brassicaceae.
UUUACUUGGCCUCACGGAAUGGGUCCCACUUCAUCAUAUUUUGGAUCAAGACUUAAACUCAAAAUUUGUUUUAAUCCAAUCAUCUAUCAUAUCUAAAGUUGUGAUUUCGGCCUAGUUCUUCUUUGCUGGUAUAGUUUUUUGGAACUCUUGUUCUUUUCUUUUUUUUUUCCUUUUGUUCAACUGGAACUCUUGUUCAGUGACAUAAUCUUUAUCUACUAUUGGAAGAACCGUUUUCGGUUAUUGUAGAUUUUUUCGUCCUUUUCGGUUAGCCGCUAUAUCAAACUUUUUUUUAUAUGGUUUAGAUGCGGUCGAGGUGGUUUUUAGUAGAUUCUCGAAUUUAGUGUUUGAACUCUUUGUAUUAGUUUUGGAUUUGGUCCCUUCUGGUUUUUGGCUUCCCUAUUGCUCAGGGUACUGUAGAUACUUUUUUUUUUGGACUUCUUCGAAAAUAUUCAUCGACUUCAUUUCUAAAGUAAAAUCUAUUCCGUUAACUGUGGGGUGUUGUAACUUUUCAUUAAUUUUCUAAUCUAUUUAUUAGAUAACAAAAAAAAAGAGCUAUUAUUUCUGUUUUAAUUUUCAUGUCUUCAUCCGUACUAUAUAUUCACAAAUCAUAACGACAAGUAGACAAAAAUAUGUAUUUAUAUUCCCUUUUCUUUUGUUAAUAUAAGAUAUAUCAUAUAUGUUUAUUCUUUCCGACCAAAUUUCUUUUCUUUGUUAGAUUUCUUUCUUUUAUUUUUGUUUGAUGGUGUGAUUGGAGAGAUACAAUUGGAUAGCAAAUCAAUUGUAUAAACAAUAUAUCAAGA